AUCCAGCCGAUGAGUCCCAAAUAGGACGAAACUCUCGUCCUGAAU
RNAcentral lists this non-coding RNA (45 nucleotides) under Schistosoma margrebowiei. Lineage: Eukaryota; Metazoa; Platyhelminthes; Trematoda; Strigeidida; Schistosomatidae. The record is from RNAcentral.